UAGGGAAUGUUCCGCAAUGGGCGAAAGCCUGACGGAGCAACGCCGCGUGAGUGAUGAAGGUCUUCGGAUCGUAAAACUCUGUUAUUAGGGAAGAACAAAUGUGUAAGUAACUAUGCACGUCUUGACGGUACCUAAUCAGAAAGCCACGGCUAACUACGUGCCAGCAGCCGCGGUAAUACGUAGGUGGCAAGCGUUAUCCGGAAUUAUUGGGCGUAAAGCGCGCGUAGGCGGUUUUUUAAGUCUGAUGUGAAAGCCCACGGCUCAACCGUGGAGGGUCAUUGGAAACUGGAAAACUUGAGUGCAGAAGAGGAAAGUGGAAUUCCAUGUGUAGCGGUGAAAUGCGCAGAGAUAUGGAGGAACACCAGUGGCGAAGGCGACUUUCUGGUCUGUAACUGACGCUGAUGUGCGAAAGCGUGGGGAUCAAACAGG
Molecule: ribosomal RNA, 429 nt
Filed under: Actinomycetes bacterium
Lineage: Bacteria; Bacillati; Actinomycetota; Actinomycetes
Description: Actinobacteria bacterium partial 16S ribosomal RNA
Rfam family: Bacterial small subunit ribosomal RNA
Source: RNAcentral